This 1373-nucleotide ribosomal RNA is filed under the name uncultured bacterium. RNAcentral describes it as "bacterial SSU rRNA". It matches the Rfam family "Bacterial small subunit ribosomal RNA", at positions 28 to 1381 of the family's 1533-position model. The record is from RNAcentral.
GAUGAACGCUGGCGGCGUGCCUAAUACAUGCAAGUCGAGCGAACGGACGAGAAGCUUGCUUCUCUGAUGUUAGCGGCGGACGGGUGAGUAACACGUGGAUAACCUACCUAUAAGACUGGGAUAACUUCGGGAAACCGGAGCUAAUACCGGAUAAUAUUUUGAACCGCAUGGUUCAAAAGUGAAAGACGGUCUUGCUGUCACUUAUAGAUGGAUCCGCGCUGCAUUAGCUAGUUGGUAAGGUAACGGCUUACCAAGGCAACGAUGCAUAGCCGACCUGAGAGGGUGAUCGGCCACACUGGAACUGAGACACGGUCCAGACUCCUACGGGAGGCAGCAGUAGGGAAUCUUCCGCAAUGGGCGAAAGCCUGACGGAGCAACGCCGCGUGAGUGAUGAAGGUCUUCGGAUCGUAAAACUCUGUUAUUAGGGAAGAACAUAUGUGUAAGUAACUGUGCACAUCUUGACGGUACCUAAUCAGAAAGCCACGGCUAACUACGUGCCAGCAGCCGCGGUAAUACGUAGGUGGCAAGCGUUAUCCGGAAUUAUUGGGCGUAAAGCGCGCGUAGGCGGUUUUUUAAGUCUGAUGUGAAAGCCCACGGCUCAACCGUGGAGGGUCAUUGGAAACUGGAAAACUUGAGUGCAGAAGAGGAAAGUGGAAUUCCAUGUGUAGCGGUGAAAUGCGCAGAGAUAUGGAGGAACAGCCAGUGGCGAAGGCGACUUUCUGGUCUGUAACUGACGCUGAUGUGCGAAAGCGUGGGGAUCAAACAGGAUUAGAUACCCUGGUAGUCCACGCCGUAAACGAUGAGUGCUAAGUGUUAGGGGGUUUCCGCCCCUUAGUGCUGCAGCUAACGCAUUAAGCACUCCGCCUGGGGAGUACGACCGCAAGGUUGAAACUCAAAGGAAUUGACGGGGACCCGCACAAGCGGUGGAGCAUGUGGUUUAAUUCGAAGCAACGCGAAGAACCUUACCAAAUCUUGACAUCCUUUGACAACUCUAGAGAUAGAGCCUUCCUCUUCGGGGGACAAAGUGACAGGUGGUGCAUGGUUGUCGUCAGCUCGUGUCGUGAGAUGUUGGGUUAAGUCCCGCAACGAGCGCAACCCUUAAGCUUAGUUGCCAUCAUUAAGUUGGGCACUCUAAGUUGACUGCCGGUGACAAACCGGAGGAAGGUGGGGAUGACGUCAAAUCAUCAUGCCCCUUAUGAUUUGGGCUACACACGUGCUACAAUGGACAAUACAAAGGGCAGCGAAACCGCGAGGUCAAGCAAAUCCCAUAAAGUUGUUCUCAGUUCGGAUUGUAGUCUGCAACUCGACUACAUGAAGCUGGAAUCGCUAGUAAUCGUAGAUCAGCAUGCUACGGUGAAUACGUUCCCGGGUCU